UUUCCGUAGGUGAACCUGCGGAAGGAUCAUUACAGUAGUCACCCAGGUUGCCGCAAGGCCUCCUGGGUAACCUACCACCCUUUGUUUAUUACACUUUGUUGCUUUGGCAAGCCUGCCCUCGGGCUGCUGGCUCCGGCCGGCGAGCGCUUGCCAGAGGACCUAAACUCUGUUUGUCUAUACUGUCUGAGUACUAUAUAAUAGUUAAAACUUUCAACAGCGGAUCUCUUGGUUCUG
This 234-nucleotide unclassified non-coding RNA is filed under the name plant metagenome. RNAcentral's name for it is "partial contains small subunit ribosomal RNA, internal transcribed spacer 1, and 5.8S ribosomal RNA". The record is from RNAcentral.